This 424-nucleotide ribosomal RNA is filed under the name uncultured bacterium. RNAcentral describes it as "bacterial SSU rRNA". It matches the Rfam family "Bacterial small subunit ribosomal RNA", at positions 355 to 796 of the family's 1533-position model. The record is from RNAcentral.
UAACGAAUCUUCCGCAAUGCACGAAAGUGUGACGGAGCGACGCCGCGUGUAGGACGAAGUCCUUCGGGAUGUAAACUACUGUCAGGGGUUACCAAGUUCUGAGGAGCCCCAGAGGAAGGCACGGCUAACUCUGUGCCAGCAGCCGCGGUAAUACAGAGGUGCCGAGCGUUAGGCGGAAUCACUGGGCUUAAAGCGUGUGUAGGCGGAUGCCUAAGUACCUUGUGAAAUCCCACGGCUUAACCGUGGAACUGCUCGGUAUACUGGGUGUCUUGAGCCACUUAGGGGUUACCGGAACAAAUGGUGGAGCGGUGAAAUGCGUAGAUAUCAUUUGGAACGCCAAUGGUGAAAACAGGUAACUGGGAGUGUGCUGACGCUGAGACACGAAAGCCAGGGGAGCGAACGGGAUUAGAUACCCCUGUAGUCC